This 253-nucleotide ribosomal RNA is filed under the name uncultured bacterium. RNAcentral describes it as "partial 16S ribosomal RNA". It matches the Rfam family "Bacterial small subunit ribosomal RNA", at positions 524 to 776 of the family's 1533-position model. The record is from RNAcentral.
UACGGAGGGGGCAAGCGUUAUCCGGAAUCACUGGGUUUAAAGGGUGCGUAGGCGGCUUGAUAAGUCAGGGGUGAAAGCCCGCAGCUUAACUGCGGAACUGCCUUUGAUACUGUCGAGCUUGAAAGAGGUUGAGGUCAGCGGAACGUGACAUGUAGCGGUGAAAUGCAUAGAUAUGUCACAGAACACCGAUUGCGAAGGCAGCUGGCUUGACCGACUUUGACGCUGAGGCACGAAAGCGUGGGGAGCGAACAGG